Molecule: microRNA precursor, 62 nt
Filed under: Anopheles christyi
Lineage: Eukaryota; Metazoa; Arthropoda; Insecta; Diptera; Culicidae
Description: microRNA mir-308
Rfam family: mir-308 microRNA precursor family
Source: RNAcentral
UUCGCAGUAUAUUCUUGUGAGUUUGCUAUUUUUAUGGUCAAAUCACAGGAGUAUACUGUGAG